Molecule: ribosomal RNA, 433 nt
Filed under: uncultured bacterium
Lineage: Bacteria
Description: partial 16S ribosomal RNA
Rfam family: Bacterial small subunit ribosomal RNA
Source: RNAcentral
AACGAACGCUGGCGGCAUGCCUAACACAUGCAAGUCGAACGAGACCUUCGGGUCUAGUGGCGCACGGGUGCGUAACGCGUGGGAACCUGCCCUUAGGUUCGGAAUAACUCCCCGAAAGGGGUGCUAAUACCGGAUAAUGUCUUCGGACCAAAGAUUUAUCGCCUUUGGAUGGGCCCGCGUUGGAUUAGCUAGUUGGUAGGGUAAAAGCCUACCAAGGCGACGAUCCAUAGCUGGUCUGAGAGGAUGAUCAGCCACACUGGGACUGAGACACGGCCCAGACUACUACGGGAGGCGGGAGUGGGGGAUAUUGGAAAAUGGGCGAAAGCAUGAUCCAGCAAUGCCGCGUGAGUGAUGAAGGCGUUAGAGUUGUAAAGCUCUUUUACCCGGGAUGAUAAUGACGGUACCGGGAGAAUAAGCACCGGCUAACUCCGUG